GGAAGUUGGAGCUUCGGUUUUAACUUUAGUGGCGAACGGGUGAGUAACGCGUGAGGAACCUGCCUUUCAGUGGGGGACAACAGUUGGAAACGACUGCUAAUACCGCAUGACACUUUUGGGAGACAUCUCCUGGAAGUCAAAGCUUUAUGUGCUGAAAGAUGGCCUCGCGUCUGAUUAGCUAGUUGGUGAGGUAACGGCUCACCAAGGCGACGAUCAGUAGCCGGUCUGAGAGGAUGAACGGCCACAUUGGGACUGAGAUACGGCCCAGACUCCUACGGGAGGCAGCAGUGGGGAAUAUUGGGCAAUGGGGGAAACCCUGACCCAGCAACGCCGCGUGAAGGAAGAAGGCCUUCGGGUUGUAAACUUCUUUUACCAGGGACGAAGGACGUGACGGUACCUGGAGAAAAAGCAACGGCUAACUACGUGCCAGCAGCCGCGGUAAUACGUAGGUUGCAAGCGUUGUCCGGAUUUACUGGGUGUAAAGGGCGUGUAGGCGGAGAUGCAAGUUGGGAGUGAAAUCCAUGGGCUCAACCCAUGAACUGCUCUCAAAACUGUAUCCCUUGAGUAUCGGAGAGGCAAGCGGAAUUCCUAGUGUAGCGGUGAAAUGCGUAGAUAUUAGGAGGAACACCAGUGGCGAAGGCGGCUUGCUGGACGACAACUGACGCUGAGGCGCGAAAGCGUGGGGAGCAAACAGGAUUAGAUACCCUGGUAGUCCACGCUGUAAACGAUGAAUACUAGGUGUGGGAGGACUGACCCCUUCCGUGCCGCAGUUAACACAAUAAGUAUUCCACCUGGGGAGUACGAC
RNAcentral lists this ribosomal RNA (805 nucleotides) under uncultured bacterium. Its description in RNAcentral is "bacterial SSU rRNA". It matches the Rfam family "Bacterial small subunit ribosomal RNA", at positions 68 to 886 of the family's 1533-position model. The record is from RNAcentral.